AUACUUGGGUGAUCGCUGCAUGUUUAAUGCAGAGGAAAGUCCAUGCUCGCACAGGCUGAGAUGCCUGUAGUGUUCAUGCCUGACGAAACCAUAAGUCAGGGUAGCCUGAUGGCUAACGGCAGGGAAAAUGCCUAAGUCCUUUUGGAUAUGGCAUUCCAACCUUGAAAGUGCCACAGUGACGUAGUCAAAGUAGAAAUGCUUUGAGUGGAACGAGGUAAACCCCAUGAGCGAGCAACCCAAAUGAAGGUAGGGGCACUCUUCGAAGGGAAAUGAACCUGACAAGAGGCAAGCGUAAUGCUUGCAGAUAGAUGAUUACCACCGGAGUACGAGGUUGACCACCGCUGGCAGUACGAUGGUACAGAACAUGGCUUACAAAG
This 377-nucleotide RNase P RNA is filed under the name Thalassobacillus cyri. RNAcentral's name for it is "Bacterial RNase P class B". It matches the Rfam family "Bacterial RNase P class B". Rfam says of the family: Ribonuclease P (RNase P) is a ubiquitous endoribonuclease, found in archaea, bacteria and eukarya as well as chloroplasts and mitochondria. The record is from Rfam by way of RNAcentral. Lineage: Bacteria; Bacillati; Bacillota; Bacilli; Caryophanales; Bacillaceae.